This 253-nucleotide ribosomal RNA is filed under the name uncultured bacterium. Its description in RNAcentral is "partial 16S ribosomal RNA". It matches the Rfam family "Bacterial small subunit ribosomal RNA", at positions 524 to 776 of the family's 1533-position model. The record is from RNAcentral.
UACGUAGGGUGCAAGCGUUGUCCGGAAUUAUUGGGCGUAAAGAGCUCGUAGGCGGUCUGUUGCGUCGGCUGUGAAAACUCGGGGCUCAACCCCGAGCCUGCAGUCGAUACGGGCAGACUAGAGUGCUGUAGGGGAGACUGGAAUUCCUGGUGUAGCGGUGAAAUGCGCAGAUAUCAGGAGGAACACCGGUGGCGAAGGCGGGUCUCUGGGCAGUAACUGACGCUGAGGAGCGAAAGCGUGGGGAGCGAACAGG